Molecule: long non-coding RNA, 1497 nt
Organism: Triticum aestivum (bread wheat)
Lineage: Eukaryota; Viridiplantae; Streptophyta; Magnoliopsida; Poales; Poaceae
Exons: 3
Source: RefSeq, a predicted model, not a curated record
ACACUCCCGUGGACAGAAGAAUAGAGGAAGCGCCGCCGCGCACGCGCGCACCCAUCCCUGCCGCCGCCACUCGAUGCUCGCCACCGCCGCGCCUCAUCCCCUCCUCUUUCACCCUGCAAUCAACCACUCCCAGCCUCCCUUCCCCGCAGCUUCUACCCUGGCCGAACGGAAUGGCCAAGACGCCGGCAUCUCCAACCCCGACCCCCAGGUCCCUGACACAUCGCGACGGAACGUGGGCGCACGGAGCUUCACGGCACGACGACUGGCGGCGCGCAGGUGGGGCAGAACGGGAUUUAGUCAGGCAGCGCGGCCUGGUUGUCCCAUUCGAGGGUAGGCCGCAUGAAGCUGUCACGCUCGCCGACGAGCACCUGGACCGACCUGUGCUUGAACGAGUCAUCAGUGUGGGGCGAGGCUGGUCAGCUGGUGCACUCCUCGCGCAUUUCCUGCCGGUCAAGCUUCAGCAGGAAAUACUUUGGCAUGGUACAGUUUGACCAGCCACAGGACCAGAUCAGUUAACCUACUCCCUUUACUCUGCAUCAAGUACCUAUCCCAGCAGCAGCAGCAGAGGUGGGGGCUCUGGAGGAAGCCAAGGUCGGCGCUCAGGCAGACAGCAGCAGAGGCGGAGGUUCAAUGCUGCAUUGCUUGUACUGUCAAAAAGGUUCAGGCUCAAUGCUGAUUGCUGAAAAUUGACAGUAAGUUUUAACAGUUUGGAGUACAGAUUAACUAAAACCUGACAUUUUAACUGAAUUUUACCUUCUUCUUCCUUCCUGAGGAACACGAGCUCUGGCGGCAGCACAAGGAGCAGGCCAGAGGAGCACAGGGGAGCUACUACUGGAGCUCUGCUGCUGCUGAUCAACACGAGCACGACAAGCGAGCAGUGGAUCAAUUUCACUCUGUAUAAGCUGCAGGAUCAGAGCGGAGUACCAGAGGCAACGGCGGAGGCCUUAGGGGUCGGGGUCGGGGAAUCGGAGGGCGUCGGCGUCGCCCACCAGCAGUGGCGGCGGCAUCAGAGGCGUCGGCCGCCACCACCACCUCAACUAGCCGGCUGGCCGAAGCGAACCAGCGUGGCGGCUAAAGCGGACCAGCGCGACGUAGGUGAGCGGCGGAAUAGUGGGUGGAGUGGACCAGCGCGGCGACGGUGGGUGGCAGAGGACCCACUCGUCGGUGGGCGGCGGAGGUCCUCCUCAUGGGCAGCGGAAGUCCUGUUCGUGGCCGGGCUCGGCGGCGGCUCAUGACCUUCUCCUGGAGACGGCUGGCUGCGGCGGCUGGCCGUGGCGACGCGGGCGACGGCGGAGGAGUAGGAAGGAGACGGGGGCUUAAUUUCCAGAGUUUUGAAAGUGGAAGGACUAAAAUGCAAAAACAAAAAACAAAUGUACUAAGCCCGCGACAUGAGGUAGUGUACUACCCUCCGUCCAGUGUCAAAAAAACGUCUUACAUUAUGAAACGGAGGGAGUACUUAACACCCUUGGUGCUUGUCUGCCUGAGCUAUCAACAACA